UCUUUCCCCCAGGUUUCUUGCCCCCACCCUCCCCCCAGGCUUCUUGCUGCCCUGAGAAAAGCCCGCCAAGCCUGCUCUGUUCUGCCUAGCAACAACAAGCAGCCAAUCAUCGCAGCAGGAAAGCCCGCCAAGCCUCGGCCUAUCCUGAACCGACACGUAACCCUCUGAGCCACCUCAGCAGUCCGCCCAGAAACGGACAGCCUAUCCUAAGCUCCCACGACACUCCGCCAGCCCUGUAUCCACGCCCCGUCCACCCCCCUAUAAACCCCUCCUACCCCAGCUGCGCAGUCGCAGCCAGCCCCGAUCUCCUUCCUUUCCUGGCCUGCCCGCUGGUCCCAAUAAACCUGAACUCGGCUUCCAACUCUCGCUCGAGCUGUUACUUGGGAUCGGGUUACAAAUUUCACUGGGAAGACGGGUUCAUCACUACGGUAAGCAUAGGCCUCAUCACUGCAGGCAACACGUGCCUGUGACCCUGCGUAACCGCCGUGAGCCUCCUACUAAGCAAUAGAAUGUGGAGCACUCAUGUUAUCCUUAGAACGAAAAGCAACAGGAGGACAACGGAUCCAGGAGGCUUCUGACUGCACACGUGUGCUACCUGGCCUCAAGGAGACAGGAUAGAGAGAUACCUUCCUUUUAGCCCUUCAGACUUCAUUGGCCUAGGUAUCUACUAGGGGAGGUCAGAUGUGAUCCCGGAUUUUACAAAGCUCAGACCUUGGUAACUGUGGUAAAAGGAAGAUAGCCAGUUUUUAGCUGGGGAGGCAGGGGUGAGCUGGUGGAAGAGUUUGGCAAGCAAGGUAAAGAACAGAAGGUACAGAGACCAACCCCCACCACCCAGCCACCUGUUGGAAACAGAAAAAACAUCAGCCUGCCUUUCAAGCUUUGCCAAGGAAGAGACACUUCCUCCAGGUCAGUCACAAGCUGGGAGACCACAGUAACUGCUUGGUCUCUUCCUGGUCCGAAAGUGUACAAUUUCCAACCUGGAAUUCUAAUUAUUUUCCUCUGGCUCACAAACCUUGUAGGUCUUGAUAAAUUGUUACAGAAGUAUUGGAAGAUGCUGUCUACACCCAUGUUCCUAAAUCUAAUUAUUUUCUUUCCAAGUCUCCCUCUCCUGCCACUCCCCUCCCCCUUUUCAUUUCCCUUUUAUUCCUUCUCAAGCAAGAUGUAUUGUAAUAAAUUAUCUUAACAGUGGCAUUUCACGUUUUCUCCCCAACUUAAGCGUCUUCCAGGGCAGGUUCCUAUCUUUUCUCUCUUCUACGGGGCCUAGGCGGUGUUAAACACUAGCUUGAUAACUGAUGCUAUGAAUCGAAUUGAAUGUUUGUGUCCCUUCAAACUUCAUCUGUUGAAAUCUUAACCCCCAAAGUGGUGGUGUUUGGAGGAGGGGCAUUUGGGAGGAAACUGGGUCAUGAGGGUAGAGACCCCAUGAAUGGGAUUAGUGAGCUUAUAAAAGGGACUCCAGAGAGCUGUCACUCUUUCUGCCACUAAGGAUACAAGAAGUCAGUCUACCACUGAGAAGAGGGCCCUCGUCGGAACCUGGCCACAGUGGCCCUGAUCUUGGACUUCCAGCCUACAGAACUGAGAAUAAGUUCCUGUUAAGCCAUCCGUCUAUAACACUUUGUUACAGUGGGCUGAACUAAGACAACUGAUUUUUUUUUUUUCUUUUUUUGAGAUGGCGUCUCACCAUGUCGCUUAGGAUGGAAUGCAGUGGUGCCAUCUGAGCUCACUGCAACCUCCGCCUCUUCGGUUCAAGCAAUUCUCGUGCCUCGGCCUCCCGAGUACUUGGGAUUACAGGUGUGCGCCAUCAUACCCAGCUAAUUUUUCAUAUUUUUAUUAGAGACGGGGUUUGGUUGCAUUGGUCAGACUGGUCUCCAACUCCUGGCACGAAGUGAUACACCCGCCUCCGCCUCCCAAAGUGCUGGGAUGACAGACUGAGCCACGGUGCCCAGCCUUGAUUUUCAUGAAUACUCUCGACUUACCUUAAAAUUCUAGGUGUCACAGUUAUCUAAAGGGACUAAAACACAGCACUUCCUAAUCGUGGAAAAUUCUCCAGAUUGUGAAUUAAACCUUUUAGCAGAAUCUCAGAAUUUCUAAACUGAAGG
Molecule: non-coding RNA, 2096 nt
Organism: Callithrix jacchus (white-tufted-ear marmoset)
Lineage: Eukaryota; Metazoa; Chordata; Mammalia; Primates; Cebidae
Source: RefSeq, a predicted model, not a curated record